This 1491-nucleotide long non-coding RNA is filed under the name Sparus aurata (gilthead seabream). RNAcentral describes it as "lncRNA (ENSSAUG00010001050.1)". The record is from RNAcentral. Lineage: Eukaryota; Metazoa; Chordata; Actinopteri; Spariformes; Sparidae.
AUGGGAGGAAAACUGAGCAAGAAGAAGAAGGGAUAUGAUGUGAGCGACCCCAAACAGGCCAACGAUGAGACUGCAGCUGCAGGUGCAGAGGAGUCUGCUAAAGUGGGGGCUGCAGCCCCACCCACGAAUGCUGAGGUGACAGCUGAGGCAAACAAUGUGGAAGCAGUAACUGAAGCUGUUAAAGCUCCAGAAGAGCCCAAAACUGCACCUCCUGAGGAACCAGUUGCAGCGCAGGAGGCAGCUCCAGUAGAGACAGCUCCUGCUGCAAAAGAGGAGGCUGUUCCAGUGGCAGUGGAACCAGCUGCAACAACAGAGGAACCUGCAGCUCCAGUAGUAGAAGCAGCAGUUGCAGUUGCAGCAGCAGUAGAGGCAGCUCCAGUAGAGGUACCAGUUGUAGAAGUAGAAGAACCUGCUCCAGCACCAGAGGAGCCUGCUCCAGCACCAGAGGAGCCAGCCCCAGCACCAGAGGAGCCAGCCCCAGCACCAGAGGAGCCAGCCCCAGUUGUAGAGGAAAAAACUCCAGUAGAGGAACCAGAUGUUCCAGCAGCAGCAGCAGCAGAAGAACCUGUGCCUGAACCUGAGCCUGUAGCUGUACCUGAAGAAGUUGCUUUAGAAGAACCUGCUGCAAUUGUAGAAUCUUUGCCAGAGCCAGAGGUUGUUCCUAUCAGCAUGGAAGAAGCACCCAAGGCCGCUGAGCCAGAGCCCAUCGUAGAGACUGUUAUUGAGCCAGCCGCUGCUGUGGAGGAGACAGUGCUGCCCACUGCUGUCCCUGAACCUGAGCCAGUGGCCGAGCCAGUGCUUGAGCAAGUCCCAGAACCAGAGCCAGAACCUGUACCAGAGCAAGUCCCAGAGCCAGAGCCAGAACAAGUGCUAGAGCCAGAACCUGAACAGAAGGUUGAUGCAGUAGAAUCCCCAGCAGAGGAAAAAGUUGAUGAAGUUGAGCUAGAACCAGUUGUAGCCACGUCUGAACCCGAGACCGUGGAAGCAGAAAUACCUGAGGUCUUGGAGAUUAAGGCAGAGGAGGUCCCCAAUGAUCAGGAAUCUGUUGCAACUGAUGCCUCCAGCGCCGAGGCGGCAGCUGAGCCAGAAGCAGAAGAACCUGUCCCUGAGAUUGUUGUCUCAGAGUCUGUGUCUGCUAACGAGAUUAGUGCGGAGUCCGAAGUGGUAGCCGAAGCAUCUGUGGAAGAGGUGCCUUCCCAGGAGCCCGAACCAGAAUGUCAAAUGGAAAAUGGAAAUGUAGAGAGUCCCUCUGUUACAGAGGAUGUGGAGGAUGCACCCCCAGCUGUGAAUGGAGAGUGCACAGAUUCCGCUGUCACACAUACAGAGGAAUGUGUUAAUGGCGAUGAAAAGCCAGAGGAGACGCCUAUCAAGGAGAAGAGUGACUUUGAACUGAAAAAGGAUGUGAGCCUAGGUGGAGAUGUCCAGGAAGUUCCCGAUGGAGUCUCUGACAUGGCGGGCGAACUCGGCACUGAGGUCACCCAGGCAGUCUGA